AGAACGAACGCUGGCGGCAUGCCUAAUACAUGCAAGUCGAACGAAGGCUUCGGCCUUAGUGGCGCACGGGUGCGUAACGCGUGGGAAUCUGCCCCUUGGUUCGGAAUAACAGUUGGAAACGACUGCUAAUACCGGAUGAUGACGAAAGUCCAAAGAUUUAUCGCCAAGGGAUGAGCCCGCGUAGGAUUAGCUAGUUGGUGAGGUAAAGGCUCACCAAGGCGACGAUCCUUAGCUGGUCUGAGAGGAUGAUCAGCCACACUGGGACUGAGACACGGCCCAGACUCCGUACGGGAGGCAGCAGUAGGGAAUAUGGACAAUGGGCAAAGCCUGAUCCAGCAAUGCCGCGUGAGUGAUGAGGCCUUAGGUGUAAGCUCUUUUACCCGAGAUGAUAAUGACAGUAGUCGGAAGAAGUAACGACCCGGUACUAACGUCCGUGCCGAGACGACGCCGACGGU
RNAcentral lists this ribosomal RNA (455 nucleotides) under uncultured soil bacterium. Its description in RNAcentral is "bacterial SSU rRNA". It matches the Rfam family "Bacterial small subunit ribosomal RNA", at positions 26 to 532 of the family's 1533-position model. The record is from RNAcentral.